This 83-nucleotide transfer RNA is filed under the name Haliotis rufescens (red abalone). RNAcentral describes it as "tRNA-Leu". It matches the Rfam family "tRNA". From Rfam's summary of the family: Transfer RNA (tRNA) molecules are approximately 80 nucleotides in length. Their secondary structure includes four short double-helical elements and three loops (D, anti-codon, and T loops). Further hydrogen bonds mediate the characteristic L-shaped molecular structure. tRNAs have two regions of fundamental functional importance: the anti-codon, which is responsible for specific mRNA codon recognition, and the 3' end, to which the tRNAs corresponding amino acid is attached (by aminoacyl-tRNA synthetases). tRNAs cope with the degeneracy of the genetic code in two manners: having more than one tRNA (with a specific anti-codon) for a particular amino acid; and 'wobble' base-pairing, i.e. permitting non-standard base-pairing at the 3rd anti-codon position. Lineage: Eukaryota; Metazoa; Mollusca; Gastropoda; Lepetellida; Haliotidae. The record is from RNAcentral.
AGCACGGUGGCCGAGUGGUUAAGGCGUUGGACGUAAGAUCCAAUGGACGUAUGUCCGCGUGGGUUCGAACCCCACCCGUGCUA